RNAcentral lists this ribosomal RNA (253 nucleotides) under uncultured bacterium. Its description in RNAcentral is "partial 16S ribosomal RNA". It matches the Rfam family "Bacterial small subunit ribosomal RNA", at positions 524 to 776 of the family's 1533-position model. The record is from RNAcentral.
UACGUAGGGUGCGAGCGUUAAUCGGAAUUACUGGGCGUAAAGCGCGCGCAGGCGGCCCUGUGCGCUGCCGGUGAAAGCUCCCGGCUUACCUGGGAGAGGUUCGGCAGGACGGCAGGGCUGGAGGGUGGGAGAGGUCGGUGGAAUUCCCGGUGUAGUGGUGAAAUGCGUAGAGAUCCGGAGGAACACCGACGGCGCAGGCAGCGUCCUGGCCGCUUGCUGACACUGAGGCACGAAAGCUGGGGGAGCAAACAGG